AGCAGUCGCCGCGGUAAUACGGAGGGUGCAAGCGUUAAUCGGAAUUACUGGGCGUAAAGCGUGCGUAGGCGGUUCGUUAAGUCUGUUGUGAGAGCCCCGGGCUCAACCUGGGAAUGGCAAUGGAUACUGGCGAGCUAGAGUGUGUCAGAGGAUGGUGGAAUUCCCGGUGUAGCGGUGAAAUGCGUAGAGAUCGGGAGGAACAUCAGUGGCGAAGGCGGCCAUCUGGGACAACACUGACGCUGAGGCACGAAAGCGUGGGGAGCAAACAGGAUUAGAUACCCGCGUAGUCCCUGUCUCUUAUAC
RNAcentral lists this ribosomal RNA (303 nucleotides) under uncultured bacterium. RNAcentral's name for it is "partial 16S ribosomal RNA". It matches the Rfam family "Bacterial small subunit ribosomal RNA", at positions 507 to 807 of the family's 1533-position model. The record is from RNAcentral.